CAUGUGGGUAAUUCACUUGUUCAGAUGAGGAUUUCUGGUUGUCUCUGUAGGCUGCAGAGCCUGGCAUAAAAGAUGCCCAGCCAGAGACCACAGCUCAGAGAUAAUAUCCUCAUCGAGGCCAGAGACCUUCAUAUUCUCAGAAGUUAAAAGGCCAGAAAGAAAAAAAGAGAAGACACAAAUUACCAAUGUGGAGAAUGAGAAAGAAAAUGGGCGCACAUUCCAGUUUCGAACACAUGUAAAUGAUAGCCUACUAGAUGGGUAACCUGACAUCCUAGAUCUCCCAUCUUGAAGAUACAAGACCACAUAUAAGCCGCCAGCCCCUGACCAUAAUGUGCCCCUCCACUGAGGGUUCAAAUGAUAUUCUCUCUUAGUGUAUACUUUUAUGAUUCUG
Heterocephalus glaber (naked mole-rat) is the source of this 391-nucleotide long non-coding RNA. RefSeq lists it as uncharacterized. The record is from RefSeq and is a predicted model, not a curated record. NCBI's taxonomy places the organism in Eukaryota, Metazoa, Chordata, Mammalia, Rodentia, Bathyergidae.